AGUCCAUGGUGGGGGCAUAACCUUAACACGUCCUUAAAUGACUUCCAUGCUUUGUAGAGUGAUUCCCCAUUCUUUCGAGUAAAAUUGAUUAUUUGGUUUCUAAAUU
Small nucleolar RNA from Lathyrus oleraceus (garden pea), 106 nucleotides. Lineage: Eukaryota; Viridiplantae; Streptophyta; Magnoliopsida; Fabales; Fabaceae. The record is from RefSeq and is a predicted model, not a curated record.